Molecule: transfer RNA, 75 nt
Filed under: Chlamydia trachomatis
Lineage: Bacteria; Pseudomonadati; Chlamydiota; Chlamydiia; Chlamydiales; Chlamydiaceae
Also listed under: 1 other name
Description: tRNA-Arg(acg)
Rfam family: tRNA
About the family: Transfer RNA (tRNA) molecules are approximately 80 nucleotides in length. Their secondary structure includes four short double-helical elements and three loops (D, anti-codon, and T loops). Further hydrogen bonds mediate the characteristic L-shaped molecular structure. tRNAs have two regions of fundamental functional importance: the anti-codon, which is responsible for specific mRNA codon recognition, and the 3' end, to which the tRNAs corresponding amino acid is attached (by aminoacyl-tRNA synthetases). tRNAs cope with the degeneracy of the genetic code in two manners: having more than one tRNA (with a specific anti-codon) for a particular amino acid; and 'wobble' base-pairing, i.e. permitting non-standard base-pairing at the 3rd anti-codon position.
Source: RNAcentral
GCGCCAGUAGCCCAACGGAUUAGAGCAUCUGACUACGGAUCAGAAGGUUGCAGGUUCGAAUCCUGUCUGGCGCAC